Non-coding RNA from Chrysemys picta bellii (western painted turtle), 1577 nucleotides. NCBI's taxonomy places the organism in Eukaryota, Metazoa, Chordata, Testudines, Emydidae. The record is from RefSeq and is a predicted model, not a curated record.
GAGGGAAGUGGUUCACCAGCCCCAAAGGAGGGCUCACCUCACUCGUGCCCUUCCCAAAUGAGGGCCCCCUUCUGUAAGGAGCUAGUUGGCCUCAGCUCAUUGGGCAUCCUCACCUGUCAGGAUUGGACCACAGAUUGUACUGUUUACCCCAGACUGAAAAUACUGUAGGAAGGGAACGGGGAUGGGGGAGUGACAGGGCAGAUACAGGCUAUAUCUUGAAUAUAAUGGUGCCACUGGCAGAGAAGACAUUUCUUAGCUUGUAUUAGUGCUCCUUCUUGAAGAGCAGUCCCGAACACCAAAGAGAAUUCACCUGGAAUACAAAGAUGACUAAUAUAUAUUUUGUGCAUAUAGGAGAGGAAAGGUAGACCAGUAAAUGGGACACAAAGGACUUUGGAGACCAAGAUUUAUUUCCCUGCUCUGCCACAGAUAUCCUUUGUAACCUUGGGCAGCUCCUGGGUGGUGAGACUGGACUUCUCCAGGUGUGCGUCAAAGACUCAAGUGAGGCUUGACUGAACAAAGAGGAAAAGAACAAUAGCAGCUUUGGUUUCUGUUCAGAGGAACUAUGGUCUUGAUCCUCCAAGAUGCUGAUUUGAUAGUAGCCAUUGUGGCUGUCACUGGGGAUUGAAUCUAGCACCUCUGGAGCUAAAAACACCAGUCUCCACAGCUUGAGUCACAGAGCGCAGGAAUUUUAGGAUUUGUUGAGUUGCUGCUCUGAUGACUGGGAAAUCACUGAGCGAUGUUCGGUCGCCAAGUUGAUGGCAUUCGUCAUGAAUUAUCACUUAAAGUGGACUGCGUGAAAGCUGCCAUCUUCCACUCCAGUUUUACUCCAAACAACCCAAACAAGGUGUUAAUGGGCCACUCUACCUACCAACACUACAAAAAGAAGGAUUCUGUGUGGACUUCUCCUGAAGGUCAAAACAACAGACUGGACUUCUACAUAGAGUGCUUCCGUCGAUGUGCACGAGCUGAAAUUGUGGAAAAGCAGCAUCACUUGCCAAAUAACCUCACCCAUGCAGAACACGCCAUCCACAGCCUCAGAAAAAACUCUGACAUCACAAUAAAAAAGGCUGACAAAGGAGGUGCUGUAGUCAUCAUGAAUAGGUUGGAAUAUGAACAAGAGGCUGCUAGACAACUCUCUGACAUCACAUUCUACAGGCCAUUACCCUCUGACCCCACUGAGGAUUACCAAAAGAAACUAUAGCAUCUUCUUAAGAAACUCCCGAAAGAAGUACAGGAACAAAUUUACACUGACACACCCCUAGAGCCCCGACCAGUGGUAUUUUACCUGCUACCCAAAAUCCAUAAAUCUGGGAAACCUAGAUGCCCCAUCAUCUCAGGCAUUGGCACCCUGACAGCAGGAUUAUGUGGCUAUGUAGACUCUCUCCUCAGGCCCUACGCUACCAGCACUCCCAGCUAUCUUCGAGACAUCUAUCUUCCUGAAAAAACUAAAAUCCUUUGGUGAUCUUCCAGAAAACACCAUCCUAGCCACUAUGGAUGUAGAAGCCCUCUACACCAACAUUCCACACAAAGAUGGACUAUAAGCCAUCAGGAAUAGCAUUCCCGAUACCAUCAUGGCA